AAGCGUUGUUCGGAAUUAUUGGGCGUAAAGCGCGUGUAGGCGGUUUGGUAAGUCUGAUGUGAAAGCCCUGGGCUCAACCCGGGAAGUGCAUUGGAUACUGGCAAACUUGAGUACGGGAGAGGGCAGUGGAAUUCCCAGUGUAGGGGUGAAAUCCGUAGAUAUUUGGAGGAACACCGGUGGCGAAGGCGGCUAUCUGGACCGAUACUGACGCUGAGACGCGAAAGCGUGGGGAGCAAACAGGAUUAGAUACCCUGGUAGUCCACGCCGUAAACGAUGAGAACUAGGUGUCGCGGGUAUUGACCCCUGCAGUGCCA
RNAcentral lists this ribosomal RNA (314 nucleotides) under uncultured Geobacter sp. RNAcentral describes it as "bacterial SSU rRNA". It matches the Rfam family "Bacterial small subunit ribosomal RNA", at positions 536 to 848 of the family's 1533-position model. The record is from RNAcentral. Lineage: Bacteria; Pseudomonadati; Thermodesulfobacteriota; Desulfuromonadia; Geobacterales; Geobacteraceae.